Molecule: unclassified non-coding RNA, 501 nt
Filed under: Anelosimus elegans
Lineage: Eukaryota; Metazoa; Arthropoda; Arachnida; Araneae; Theridiidae
Description: partial contains 16S ribosomal RNA and tRNA-Leu (trnL)
Rfam family: Bacterial large subunit ribosomal RNA (bases 105-404)
Source: RNAcentral
UUUGUUUUUUAAUUAAAAACUAGAAUGAAAGGUUAUACAUUCAAAUUUCUUUAUUAAUUUUUAAUAAAUAAUUUAUAUUAAAUAUAAAAAUAUAUUUAUAAAAAAAAAAGACGACAAGACCCUAUUAAAUUUUACUUAUAGUUUAGCUGGGGAAGCUUUUCAAUUAAAAUUUUUUAAAUUAAAUAAAUAAAAAUCUAAUAAAAUUAAAAUUUUAAUAAAUUACUAUAGGGAUAACAGCAUUAUAUUUUUUUAAAGUUCAUAUUAAAAAAAAUGAUUGUGACCUCGAUGUUGAAUUAUAUUUUCUAUAUUUAAUGCAAUAAUUAUAAAAGUAGAUCUGUUCGAUCUUUAAAAUAUUACAUGAUUUGAGUUCAAACCGGUGUAAACCAGGUUGGUUUUUAUCUUUUUAUAUAUUUUUCUAGUACGAAAGGACAAAAAAAUUUUUAUUUUAAUAAAUUAGCAAAUAAAUGCAUUAGAUUUAGAAUCUAAUUAUAUUUAAUAAUU